RNAcentral lists this transfer RNA (75 nucleotides) under Salmonella enterica subsp. enterica serovar Enteritidis. RNAcentral describes it as "tRNA-Gln". It matches the Rfam family "tRNA". From Rfam's summary of the family: Transfer RNA (tRNA) molecules are approximately 80 nucleotides in length. Their secondary structure includes four short double-helical elements and three loops (D, anti-codon, and T loops). Further hydrogen bonds mediate the characteristic L-shaped molecular structure. tRNAs have two regions of fundamental functional importance: the anti-codon, which is responsible for specific mRNA codon recognition, and the 3' end, to which the tRNAs corresponding amino acid is attached (by aminoacyl-tRNA synthetases). tRNAs cope with the degeneracy of the genetic code in two manners: having more than one tRNA (with a specific anti-codon) for a particular amino acid; and 'wobble' base-pairing, i.e. permitting non-standard base-pairing at the 3rd anti-codon position. The record is from RNAcentral. RNAcentral also lists the same sequence under 1 other name. Lineage: Bacteria; Pseudomonadati; Pseudomonadota; Gammaproteobacteria; Enterobacterales; Enterobacteriaceae.
UGGGGUAUCGCCAAGCGGUAAGGCACCGGUUUUUGAUACCGGCAUUCCCUGGUUCGAAUCCAGGUACCCCAGACA